AUAGGUUUAAUAAUGACUAUUUAUAUUUUGUUAUAAUUAUGUUCUUUAUAUUUUUUGAUUUUAUUAAUAUUUUAAUUUUUUAUUAAAACAUUUUUUUUUAAUUAUUUUUGGUAAGAGAUAAUGUUUCAAUUAGUAUUAUUUAUAAUUAUAAUUUAGGAAUUCGGCAAUUUUUAAUUUCACCUGUUUAUUAAAAACAUGUCUUUUUGGUAUUUAUUUAAAGUCGGGCCUGCCCAAUGAUUUAUAUUUAAUGGCUGCAGUAUUUUAACUGUACGAAGGUAGCAUAAUCAUUUGUUUAAUAAUUUUAGACUAGUAUGAAAGGUUUUAUGAGAAUUAAACUUUCUUAUUUAUAUAAAUAAGAAAUUAUUUUUUUAGUUAAAAAACUUAAAUUUUUUUAUAGGACGAGAAGACCCUAUAGAACUUAAAUAAUUAUAUAAUCAAAUUUAAUUAUAUAAUUGUUUAAUUGGGGUGAUUUUGAUUUUGUAUUAACAAUUUUUUUAUUUUGUCAUUGAUUUUUGAUUUUUGUGAUCCAAUUUUUUUGAUUAUAAGAUUAAGUUACCUUAGGGAUAACAGCGUAAUUUAAUUGGAGAGUUCUUAUCGAUAAUUUAAGUUUGCGACCUCGAUGUUGAAUUAAGAUUAAAAUUAGGGGUAGAUUUUUAUAUUUUUGGUCUGUUCGACCAUUUGUUUCUUACAUGAUUUGAGUUUAGACCGGCGUGAGCCAGGUCGGUUUCUAUCCUUAAUGUUAUAAUAUUAUUUUUUAGUACGAGAGGACCAAGAAUUUAAUUAAUAUUUU
Molecule: ribosomal RNA, 790 nt
Filed under: Membracioides sp. UCR ENT 00094197
Lineage: Eukaryota; Metazoa; Arthropoda; Insecta; Hemiptera; Schizopteridae
Description: partial large subunit ribosomal RNA
Rfam family: Archaeal large subunit ribosomal RNA (bases 563-722)
Source: RNAcentral